UUUUAAAUUCAUUUAUUUUUACUGUUAAAACUUGACUUGAUUGACGAAAUAACCAAACAAUUACACUGGUGUGAAACAUGUACUUCAUUCUGAUAUACAGUAAUCAGUUUUUAAUUGUAAAAAUAGAUGAAAAUAUUAAUA
RNAcentral lists this microRNA precursor (141 nucleotides) under Gossypium arboreum. RNAcentral's name for it is "MIR7502 microRNA precursor family". It matches the Rfam family "MIR7502 microRNA precursor family". The record is from Rfam by way of RNAcentral. Lineage: Eukaryota; Viridiplantae; Streptophyta; Magnoliopsida; Malvales; Malvaceae.